This 253-nucleotide ribosomal RNA is filed under the name uncultured bacterium. Its description in RNAcentral is "partial 16S ribosomal RNA". It matches the Rfam family "Bacterial small subunit ribosomal RNA", at positions 524 to 776 of the family's 1533-position model. The record is from RNAcentral.
UACGUAGGGUGCGAGCGUUGUCCGGAAUUAUUGGGCGUAAAGAGCUUGUAGGCGGUUUGUCGCGUCUGCCGUGAAAUUUCGAGGCUCAACCUCGAACUUGCGGUGGGUACGGGCAGACUAGAGUGUGGUAGGGGAGACUGGAAUUCCUGGUGUAGCGGUGGAAUGCGCAGAUAUCAGGAAGAACACCCGUGGCGAAGGCGGCUCUCUGGGACGGUACUGACGCUGAGACGCGAAAGCGUGGGGAGCGAACAGG